This is a long non-coding RNA of Xyrauchen texanus (razorback sucker), 1573 nucleotides long. RefSeq lists it as uncharacterized. The record is from RefSeq and is a predicted model, not a curated record. The transcript is spliced from 3 exons. NCBI's taxonomy places the organism in Eukaryota, Metazoa, Chordata, Actinopteri, Cypriniformes, Catostomidae.
AGCAGUCUGAGGCAGGAUAAAGAGCUCCAGCAACGAUUUCUUCGGUUUUUGGCAAUCAAGUGUGGGAGGGACCUCAAGACAACUGUGUGGCGAAUGCUUGAGAGUAUCUUCUCUAAUCGCCUUUCCAUUAACACAACCUGGACUGGUGCAGGGGAAAAAGCAUGUUUUAGAGACAUGUUCCUGAAGACCAUUGUUCAAAGAGCCAUCCGGAAGAACUCGGCAACCCAGGAUGCCACUGAUGAGGCGAUCCAGGUUAACGUUACGCGUUACCUGAAAGGAGCAGCUGACCGUGAAGGUGGAAAAAGGCGCCGCACAGCUGAGAGGGACCCACAGCCGACCCCUCAAACCUAGGCUGACUACCGACACCCCUGCUAAAAGUGUCAGACUAAACUCACUCAAUCCACACUCUUCACUAGAAAUUGCUGGUUUUUUUUUUAUUUUUUUUUUUUAUUUUUCCCCAUCUCGUGACCCUGCCUUCAGGGCAGCUCCUUGGAUGAAUAUGGGAUGUUUUUUUUUUUUUUUCCUCUCAUGACCCUGCCUUCAGGGCAGCUCCUUGGAUGAAUAUGGGAUGGUUUGUCUUUUUAUACAGGCGCACGAGGAAUCACUGAAGAUGUGCCAAUUUGCACUGCCUCAUUCUGGAGGUCGAGGAAAACCAGACCCCAACCACUCCAGACAUUGUGAUUGACUGUGUUCUCAACAGCCAGAUUUUCUGCUGUUAAUUGCAUUUGUUCCCACUUAUUGUCAUGUUUAAGUUGAAUGUAAAACUUUACAUUAUCCUGCACAUUCUUUGAUAACAAAGAUCUCAAUUAUUUAAUAUACAAUUUGCUGCUUAUUUCAUUGUUACAGUGCUUAACUAUUCUAUUUUUAAAUAUAGCUUAUAAAUCCUAGAUUAUACAUCUAAUACUUGAUAUUUGCACAUUAUCUGGUAGCAAAUAUUCUACUUACCGUGACUUUAGUAUUGGCUUAUUUCAUUCCGUCAGUGCUUAACGAUUCUAUUAUAGUUUGUAAAUCCUAUUUCAUACCUCUGAUAUUUGAUAUUGCACUUUUAACUAGUACCAGUUAAUUCUACUUUCAUUCCAUCAGUGUGCUUAACUGUUAUUCUAUUAAAAAUAGCUUGGUUGUACUAUUUCAUACCUUUUGAUAUUGCACUUUCACUAGUACCAAAAAAUCUACUUUCAUUCCAUCAGUGUGCUUAACUGUUAUUCUAUUAAAAAUAGCUUGGUUAUACUAUUUCAUACCUUUUGAUAUUGCACUUUCACUAGUACCAAAAAUUCUACUUUCAUUCCAUCAGUGUGCUUAACUGUUAUUCUAUUGUUAAAUAUAGCUUGUAAAUCCUUGUGCCACAGGUCAGCAUUGCAGUUAUAAUGGCAUAUUCUACUCCAGAGCUUUACUCUAAAUUAUUACCACUUAUCCUAUUGUUAGAAAUGACUUGUAAAUAUGAUGUUAUACCUCAAUUUAUUUGAUAUCCUGCACUUUAUUUGGUACCAAAUAUCCUCAUUGCUUAUGUUUACUGGUAAUUCUUUUCAUCCCAGAGCUGACCUCUUUAUAUUAUUUACAAUUGUUGUAAGUGUUA